CGCAAGCGGUUUGUUAAGUCAGAUUUUGAAAUCUCCGGGGACCACCCGGGAACUCCAUCUGAAACUGCAAGCUAGAGUCUCGUAGAGGGGGGUAGAAUUCGAGGUGUAGCGGUGAAAUGCCGUAGAGAUCUGGAGGAAUACCGGUGGCGAAGGCGGCCCCCUGGACGAAGACUGGACGCUCAGGUGCGAAAGCGUGGGGAGCAAACAGGAUUAGAUACCCUGGUAGUCCCGCUGUAAAACGAUGUCGAUUUGGAGGUUGUGCCCUUGAGGCGUGGCUUCCGGAGCUAACGCGUUAAAUCGACCGCCUGGGGAGUACGGUCCGCAAGGCUUAAAACUCAAAUGAAUUGACGGGGGCCCGCGCAAGCGGUGGAGCAUGUGGUUUAAUUCGAUGCAACGCGAAGAACCUUGGGGCCCCAUUGGCAGGGCGGCACCUACUCUUGACAUCCAGAGAACUUAGCAGAGAUGCUUUGGUGCCUUCGGGAACUCUGAGACAGGUGCUGCAUGGCUGUCGUCAGCUCGUGUUGUGAAAUGUUGGGUUAAGUCCCGCAACGAGCGCAACCCUUAUCCUUGGUGUUGCCAGCGGUUCGGCCGGGAACUCAAAGGAGACUGCCAGUGAUAAACUGCAGGUAGCUCGGUAUGGACUUCAAGUCAUCAUGGCCCUUACGAGUAGGGCCGGGUAAAUUGACUACGCACGUGCUACAAUGGCGUAUACAAAGAGAAGCGACCUCGCGAGAGCAAGCGGACCUCAUAAAGUACGUCGUAGUCCGGAUUGGAGUCCGGGGGGUGCAACUGCGACUCCAUGAAGUCGGAAUCGCUUGUAAUCGUAGAUCAGAAUGCUACGGUGAAUACGUUCCCGGGCCUAGUACACACCGCCCGUCACACCAUGGGAGUGGGUUGCAA
RNAcentral lists this ribosomal RNA (900 nucleotides) under Serratia marcescens. RNAcentral's name for it is "bacterial SSU rRNA". It matches the Rfam family "Bacterial small subunit ribosomal RNA", at positions 570 to 1420 of the family's 1533-position model. Lineage: Bacteria; Pseudomonadati; Pseudomonadota; Gammaproteobacteria; Enterobacterales; Yersiniaceae. The record is from RNAcentral.